ACCUGUGAUUGGUAGGAGGGAAGAUAGUGAAAACUAUGGAGACAGAAACAGGCUGGAUGAGUAGCUCGGGAUAAAAUGUUGUUUUCUCUGUUUCUGUUUCCUCCUUAUUUCAGAUAUUUUACCUGGAUUCUGUUUAUCUGAAGCAGUGAGCUCCGCGUAUCUCUGCUUGUUAGCUGCUAAGCUAAGCUAGCCGAAACGGGGAUGCUAAAUGUCGCCUCUAGCAUGCCAAUGUUAGCCACUAUGCUAGCGUUAGCUUAUGUGGCAGGCGGAUUAAUGAACCGUGGACAGGUGAAAGCUGGAGACAACGCCGGACUGAAGGUUAGAACGAGCCACGGUUACCGGGAAAACGGUUUUAUGGAGCCUGGUGUUACAGUGGAGGAGCUACCGGUGACCAGACGGUUGUUUUUCACCGGGGAGAGGUCAGGCUUCAGCUGCGGCCUGCUAGCCUCCAUCAUCCAGGACUCAGAGGAAACUGUUCUGGUUUUAGAGAACAAAGGACUACUGUUGGCGGCUGCAGUUGAAGACGGUUGAGUCGGAGUCGAUCAGCGGAAUAAAAGGAUGACAUCAAGACCCACAACAGCGACCUGACAGCAUGCAGCCAUCAGCUGGAGCUGCCUGCUGGGAACCGGGAGGUCAGGACGAAGCCUUGAUUCUGGCUCGGCUUUAGCAUCACGCAGCUCUGGCCUCCAGAAGAACUCCGAUCCUCUCUGGCUCACGUCGAGGAGCUCUGUCAUCUCCCUCUCCUCCCGGCUCUCUGCUGUCAGAUCUGUCUUCGCUGAGGCUUGUAAAAUCACCUGGCAAGAACAACUCAAAGCGCCGGGCCGAGCCGAGCUCCCCGAAGUCCCACAAACUUUUACAAACUUUUUUUUUUCUGUUUCAUUAAAAUGAAAAGUUCACUGAAAAGGAGUUCUCGUUGUCGUGCCAGAGGGGUCAACGAUCACUGAAUCUGCUGCAGCGUUACAAGGUGAUUCCAUCUAAAUUUAUCCCAUUCCAAACUUUUCUCAACAAUGGCUAUUAAAUUUAAUUUACUAAACAUGUUGGAGUCGUUCCGACCCAGCGAGGGGUCCAUUUUAUUCUCUGCUCUUGGACGGGCUCGCAGAUUAAUUUUACGGGUUCUGACAACAAAAAGAAAAACCAUUAUUGGAAUUUCUUGCUUUAGUCGGACAAGGUUGUGUGAAUUAAAUGAAUCUAAUAAUCGAUGUAAACACAGAAAAAGAUUAUUUUACCAUCAGAGGCGGACUUCA
This is a long non-coding RNA of Amphiprion ocellaris (clown anemonefish), 1244 nucleotides long. RefSeq lists it as uncharacterized. Lineage: Eukaryota; Metazoa; Chordata; Actinopteri; Pomacentridae. The transcript is spliced from 3 exons. The record is from RefSeq and is a predicted model, not a curated record.